GGUGAACAGGAUGCAGACGGCAUGUCACAGAGAAGCGACAUGUGUGUGUCUGUAUCCCACCCUGGACCCACAGUGGAGUCCACAGUGACAAGAUCACAGUUCAGGAGAGUCACACCGGGAUUAAAAGGGGUGGUUAAAUGUGUUAUUUAAGAUAGUAAAUGUAGUGUGAGGGUGAAGCUCUCGCUGCCAGAGGGAAGUUUCCAGAAGAACAGGCACGUAAGGAUCCCUGUGAAUGUUGCUGCAUGAAAAGACCGAUAAUCCCGGGACCCAAGACCAAGACAAGGACGACCCCAAAAGACGACUUGAAGAUGAGUGACCGAGCCCCAACAGAGAUGAAGCCAGAGACGACGACCAGCCGGUUUGUCUGGAUCUGGAGCUGCAUGUUUCUGAUCUGCUGUUAUCGGCCUCAGCAACCUCCAAACGAUUCAUGUUCUUACCAUCCACUCUACUCUCAACGCAACCAGAGGUUGUUUUUUUUUAACUUCCCAGAUGGAAGUUUUUUUUCCUCACCCCAAAUGGAGUUUUUUUUUUUAAACUUCCCAACAACAGGAAGUUUUUUUUCCUUCACACUAGUACCACGUGCUUGAUCUGAUCUCACUGCAAAAAGAGAGAUCUUCAAAUAAAAAAAAACAACACAAUAGAACUGUAUGUUUGUUUAAAAAUGUAACCUAAUGCACUCUUCCUUUUAGACUUAUUAUUGGAGAGCAUGUUUUAUGGCUAGCAAACUUCAUUCAUCUAAAAAACAUGGUUUCAAACCACUGGUUUCUCACAAACACCUGGACUCCAUCUUAAAACUGCACAGCAUUUGAACAUACUGAUGGUUGUUCAAAUGCUUGGAGUCAAAUGCACGAGACAGUAAAUUUGCUAAAUACACAAAUGCUGC
Acanthochromis polyacanthus (spiny chromis) is the source of this 883-nucleotide long non-coding RNA. RefSeq lists it as uncharacterized. Lineage: Eukaryota; Metazoa; Chordata; Actinopteri; Pomacentridae. The record is from RefSeq and is a predicted model, not a curated record. The transcript is spliced from 3 exons.